This 66-nucleotide transfer RNA is filed under the name Pentapycnon charcoti. RNAcentral describes it as "tRNA-Ile". Lineage: Eukaryota; Metazoa; Arthropoda; Pycnogonida; Pantopoda; Pycnogonidae. The record is from RNAcentral. RNAcentral also lists the same sequence under 1 other name.
UAUAGAUUACCUAAAUUAAGGAUUAUUAUGAUAAAAUAAACAAGUAAAUUAAAUUUACAUCUAUUU